Molecule: long non-coding RNA, 580 nt
Organism: Pseudopipra pipra
Lineage: Eukaryota; Metazoa; Chordata; Aves; Passeriformes; Pipridae
Exons: 4
Source: RefSeq, a predicted model, not a curated record
CCCAGGACCCAUGAGAGGAGAAAAGCUGAAGUGCCCCUCGAGUCCUCCACUUUCAGGGAGUUUGCCAACCACUCAUUGGUGUGUAUUUCUGCCUGUAACUCUGUCCCUCAGAUGCUUAACUGCCCUCCCUGGCCAACGUCCAGACGGAUCCCUGUGGCAAUGGUGCUCAUCAGAUCUUGAAGUGAUUCAGGUUCUCUAUUUUUAUGCCACAGCUGCUGUAACUGCUCAGUAAUGCUUCAGCCAUGAGCUUCUACACAGUCUCCUCUACGUGAGCAAACACUCUUGGAAACUAUUUCUGGUUACCUUUCACUUUUAAUGGAAAGACUGAGUGUGCUUCAACAAAUGUGAAGUAUUUGUGGAAACAAAUGUGACUUCUACCUUCUAAGGUGACUUCCACCUUCUAAGGACAGCAUUGGCAUCCCUCCUGCCAGAGACAGGAUUUGCUCUACAUGAUCAAAAAUGCAGAUAUUACUCAUUUCAAAACAGGCAAAAGGGAAAUAAAGUUAGGAAAGAAACAAGGAAUGAAAAAGUGAUUGUCCUUGACCUGUUGCCAAAGUCUGUUGUCCACUGGCUAUCCAUG